RNAcentral lists this long non-coding RNA (436 nucleotides) under Rattus norvegicus (Norway rat). RNAcentral describes it as "long non-coding RNA NONRATT002553". Lineage: Eukaryota; Metazoa; Chordata; Mammalia; Rodentia; Muridae. The record is from RNAcentral.
AUUUCCUUUUUUCCUAGAAAAAGAAACAUAAGAAACACAAACACAAAAGUAAGCAAAAGAAUAAGAAAUCAGAAAAAAAUAGCAGUUCUGAGAGUACAGAUAGCAGUGACAGUGGGAGUGAUGCAGGAGGGUCCACAGAGCUGUCCCCGCAGGAGCUGCUUCGAAGACUGAAGUGUCUCCCCCUAAGAAGGCAGUGAUGGAGCCCUUCCCUGGCCUGUCUCAGUCUGGAGGCUCCUCCGCGAUGGAAGUCCGUUGAUUUCCCAGUUCAUACAUUGUGCAAAUGUAUUUAUAUGUAAAUUCCUUCUGUAAAAUAAUCUUUUAAACCUUGACAUUUCAAAGGCUGCCUGAAAGGUUGCAGAAAUUGAUUUCUAUUUUUAACCUCAGUUCAUGUUAGAGGGAUAAAAGACUGAACAGUUUAAUUAAAGUGACUUUUUUU